ACACCAAUGCCUUAAGUUUAUAUUUAUAUAGUAUAAAAUAAAGUAAUAUUAUAUCAGGUAAUUAGGAUUAAUGAGGAUAACAAAAGUAGGUAAAAUUUAAUUGUUGUUAUUAAUUAUAUAAUCCUAUUGAGAAAUUCUUUGAAAAUAAGAUUUAGAAAAACUAGGAUUAGAGACCCUACUAUUCUUUAUUUUAAAAAUUUUAUUACUUAAGUAGUACAAAUGUGAAUAUAAAUAUAUAAUUCUUUGAUUGUUUGAAACUUAAAAGGCUUGGCGGUAUUAUAUAUCCUACCAGGGGAGCUUGCUUAUUAAUUUGAUAAUCCCCAAUUUAUACUUACUUUUUUUUGAAUUAUAACAGUUUGUGUAUUGCUGUCGUCAGUUUAUUUUGCAAAAAUUUAGGAAAAAACUAAAUAAUUUUAUGGUUGUG
This 424-nucleotide ribosomal RNA is filed under the name Sthenoteuthis oualaniensis. Its description in RNAcentral is "partial 12S rRNA". The record is from RNAcentral. Lineage: Eukaryota; Metazoa; Mollusca; Cephalopoda; Oegopsida; Ommastrephidae.